Molecule: ribosomal RNA, 507 nt
Filed under: uncultured bacterium
Lineage: Bacteria
Description: partial 16S ribosomal RNA
Rfam family: Bacterial small subunit ribosomal RNA
Source: RNAcentral
ACUCAAAUGAAUAGACGGGGGCUCACACAAGCGGUGGAGCAUGUGGUUCAAUUCGAAGCAACGCGCAGAACCUUACCUGGGCUUGACAUGCCUGGAUUAUCCCCAUGAAAGUGGGGUAGGUCCCGCAAGGGAUACAACAGGCACAGGUGCUGCAUGGCUGUCGUCAGCUCGUGUCGUGAGAUGUCGGGUUAAGUCCCAUAACGAGCGAAACCUUUGCCCUUAGUUACCAGCGGGUUAUGCCGGGGACUCUAAGGGGACUGCCGGUGUCAAACCGGAGGAAGGUGGAGAUGACGUCAAGUCCUCAUGGCCUUUAUGCCCAGGGCCACACACGUGCUACAAUGCCGUCGAUAAAGCGACCCUAAAGCGCAAGCUCCUGGAAAUCGCAAAAAUGACGGCCCAGUUCAGAUUGGGGGCUGCAACCCGCCCCCAUGAAGUUGGAAUCGCUAGUAAUCGCGGAUCAGCUACGCCGCGGUGAAUGUGUUCCUGAGCCUUGCACACACCGCCCGU